Molecule: ribosomal RNA, 429 nt
Filed under: uncultured bacterium
Lineage: Bacteria
Description: bacterial SSU rRNA
Rfam family: Bacterial small subunit ribosomal RNA
Source: RNAcentral
UGAGGAAUCUUGCGCAAUGGGGGAAACCCUGACGCAGCAACGCCGCGUGGGUGAGGAAGGCCUUCGGGUCGUAAAGCUCUGUCAGAUGGGAAGAAAUGGGUGGGGGCUAAUAUCGUCCACCCUUGACGGUACCAUCAGAGGAAGCACCGGCUAACUCCGUGCCAGCAGCCGCGGUAAUACGGGGGGUGCAAGCGUUGUUCGGAAUCAUUGGGCGUAAAGCGCGCGCAGGCGGCUUGGUCAGUCAGAUGUGAAAGCCCUGGGCUUAACCCAGGAAGUGCAUUUGAUACUGCCUCGCUAGAGUACGGGAGAGGAAAGUGGAAUUCCUGGUGUAGAGGUAAAAUUCGUAGAUAUCAGGAGGAACACCGGUGGCGAAGGCGACUUUCUGGCCCGAUACUGACGCUCAGGCGCGAAAGCGUGGGGAGCAAACAG